Cucumis melo (muskmelon) is the source of this 473-nucleotide long non-coding RNA. RefSeq lists it as uncharacterized. The record is from RefSeq and is a predicted model, not a curated record. The transcript is spliced from 3 exons. Lineage: Eukaryota; Viridiplantae; Streptophyta; Magnoliopsida; Cucurbitales; Cucurbitaceae.
CUUUACUCUUUCUCAAUCACCCACACGAUUUCAUCCUUCCAAUUUCUUCUUCACUCCUCAUUCUCAUCUAACAAUCUUCCCUUUCUUCUCCGAAGAGUCGCUGGCACCACCACCACCAUCGUCCCUCGUGCCCAGCUCGUGCCCGCCACCACCGCCGUCACUCCUCACUUUCUUCAAACACUGAUGUUGCUUUGGGGUUUUUUGCUUUGGGGUUGUCGACGAAAAGAAUGAUCCGUUUUCUAUGGCACCCCAAAAAGCACUUGAAAGUAUUGGAAAAACAUUGAGUGUACAGUAUGAGAGGUGGCAACCCAGGGCCCGUUAUAAAGUUCAGCUGGAUCCCACUGUGGAAGAGGUAAAAAAGCUUUGUAGUACAUGUCGCAAGUAUGCAAAGACUGAACGGGUUCUCUUCCAUUAUGUUUAAAUAUUAGUGUUGAUCCACCUGAUGUAAUUAAGAUUUCACCUUGUGCCAGAAU